This 500-nucleotide ribosomal RNA is filed under the name uncultured bacterium. Its description in RNAcentral is "partial 16S ribosomal RNA". It matches the Rfam family "Bacterial small subunit ribosomal RNA", at positions 29 to 523 of the family's 1533-position model. The record is from RNAcentral.
AUUGAACGCUGGCGGCAUGCCUUACACAUGCAAGUCGAACGGUAACACGGGGGCAACCCUGGCGACGAGCGGCGAACGGGUGAGUAAUACAUCGGAACGUACCCAGUAGUGGGGGAUAGCCCGGCGAAAGCCGGAUUAAUACCGCAUACGCACUACGGUGGAAAGCGGGGGACCGCAAGGCCUCGCGCUACUGGAGCGGCCGAUGGCAGAUUAGCUAGUUGGUGGGGUAAAAGCCUACCAAGGCGACGAUCUGUAGCUGGUCUGAGAGGACGACCAGCCACACUGGGACUGAGACACGGCCCAGACUCCUACGGGAGGCAGCAGUGGGGAAUUUUGGACAAUGGGGGAAACCCUGAUCCAGCGAUGCCGCGUGUGUGAAGAAGGCCUUCGGGUUGUAAAGCACUUUUGUCCGGAAAGAAAUCCGUCGGGCUAAUACCCUGGCGGGAUGACGGUACCGGAAGAAUAAGCACCGGCUAACUACGUGCCAGCCGCCGCUGUAA